ACGCUCGACACCUACAGGAGGCAGCAGUGGGGAAUAUUGCACAAUGGGGGAAACCCUGAUGCAGCAACGCCGCGUGAAGGAAGACGGUUUUCGGAUUGUAAACUUCUGUUCUUAGUGAAGAUAGUGACGGUAGCUAAGGAGCAAGCCACGGCUAACUACGUGCCAGCAGCCGUGGUAAUCUGAGCGGGCUGGCAAGGC
This 198-nucleotide ribosomal RNA is filed under the name uncultured bacterium. RNAcentral's name for it is "partial 16S ribosomal RNA". It matches the Rfam family "Bacterial small subunit ribosomal RNA", at positions 328 to 539 of the family's 1533-position model. The record is from RNAcentral.